This 615-nucleotide ribosomal RNA is filed under the name uncultured fungus. RNAcentral describes it as "eukaryotic LSU rRNA". The stretch from base 31 to 184 matches the Rfam family "5.8S ribosomal RNA". The record is from RNAcentral. Lineage: Eukaryota; Fungi.
CCCAUUUUUGCGAUAACACGCAAUCAAUACAACUUUCAACACGGGAUCUCUUGGCUCUCGCAUCGAUGAAGAACGCAGCGAAAUGCGAUACGUAAUGUGAAUUGCAGAAUUCAGUGAAUCAUCGAAUCUUUGAACGCACCUUGCGCCCCUUGGUAUUCCGAGGGGCACACCCGUUUGAGUGUCGUGAAAAUCUCAACCUCCUUGGUUUCUUCUGGACACCGAAGGAGGCUUGGACUUUGGAGGCCUUUGCUGGCAUCUCUCGCCAGCUCCUCUCAAAUGAAUUAGCGGGGUCCUCUUUGCCGAUCCUCGACGUGUGAUAAGAUGUUUCCAUGUCUUGGUUUCUGGCUCUGUUGCUUUUGGGACCCGCUUCUAACCGUCUCAACCCGAGACAAUGUUUGGGCGUGUCUCCCUUCUCGGGAAACACCCUCAAGCCCACGAACCCUUGACCUCAAAUCGGGUGAGACUACCCGCUGAACUUAAGCAUAUCAAUAAGCGGAGGAAAAGAAACUAACAAGGAUUCCCCUAGUAACUGCGAGUGAAGCGGGAAAAGCUCAAAUUUAAAAUCUGGCGGUCUUUGGCCGUCCGAGUUGUAAUUUAGAGAAGCGUCUUCCGUGC